Long non-coding RNA from Columba livia (rock pigeon), 7470 nucleotides. RefSeq lists it as uncharacterized. The record is from RefSeq and is a predicted model, not a curated record. The transcript is spliced from 3 exons. NCBI's taxonomy places the organism in Eukaryota, Metazoa, Chordata, Aves, Columbiformes, Columbidae.
UGACCUAAAACUGAAAGGAUUUACAUAUCUUUAGGUUAGCAGCUGCAAACAGGAUUAAUUCCUUUGAAUGAUGACAACAUUGUCAGUCAGCGUCAGCUGUUCCUCAGCUCCUUUGCGGAGGGAUAUGAAAAACACGAAGAUGGAGAGGGAGCUGGAGACAGAGCUGAAAACAUGUUGCAGUUCUGCUUUGGGAGUUGUCAGGUCCACCACAUCAAGUGAACAAGAGAUGGAGCAUGCUCCAAGGAGAUCUCUAUGCCAUAGCCAUUGCAGGGGACAAGGUCUACUUCUGGUGUAUUUUGUUCAAUGACAGUGGCUGUCAUUGUCUGGUGACACUACUUGGAAAAACCCUAAAACUCAAACCAUGUGACUGAUUUGCUUAUGACCACAUAUGUUUAAACUAUUCACUUUGAGAAUUUAGUCAUAUGAAAUACAAUAACUACCAUCAGUUAUAUUUUGUUGCUUUCUAAGGUCACUGGAAGACUUGAAGAAGUGCACAGCAUCACCAGGUUUGAUGUGUCAGCUGACCUACUUCUUGCUUGGAUGGAAAUUUGGGUUAGACUUUGGAUCUUCAGGUGAGCCACAAAAAUCAAUGUGGUCCAUCUGGCCCUUUGAAUUACGAAUAAAUAGACUGCUUUUCACAAUAAUACAGAUUUUUAGUGUAAAAAUCUCACGUUCAAAAUUUCCAUUGCAAUUGGAAAUUGCAAUUGCCCAGGUUUCCCAGAGAGGUGGUGGAUGAACCAUCCCUGGAGACAUCCCAGACCAGGCUGGACGGAGCUCUGAGCAACCUGCUGUAGUUGAUGAUGUCCUUCCUCAUGACCAGGACAGUGGACUAGAUGAGCAUUGAUUGGUGGUGGCUUAGUACAGCUGUGAUAACAGUGCCUGAGGCAUCUGAACUUCAGGCAGAUACAGACCGCCACAAACACGAGCAUACACUUCAGCUCAAACAUGCCCUGGAUGCCCACUAUAUCCUGGGCCAUGCCUGAAGGUCUAAACAGUAGGAAGUUGUACCAAAAAUACAGUGACUAUAUAACAUUAAUAUCUGAAUAAUUUUACUGUCAAAAACUUAGAGAGUCAGGUCUAUGAAGGAGAAAGUAUAAGUGCACAUGUUUCACAUUUCGUGCUUACUAUUUAGACUAUGCAUGUCUUAUGACUUCUGUAUUUGCAUAAUGCUGAGGAAAACAAGAUCCAAACUCAUCAGAGACAUUAAAAAUUUAUGGUCUUGGGAGUCCCUAACUCUUGGUCUUGUAAACAGUCUAGCACUUUCCAUACUGAAACAAGCCCUACACAUGCACUGGAAUCACAUACCUUUGUAAACACGGAAACAAACAAACAAGCAAAACCAAACAAAACCCACCAAAAUAACAAAACAAUCCCAAACACACAAAAAUAAUAAUAAUAAAAAAUACAAACCAAAAACCAGACACAAAAAAAGGUGGGUGGCUGUCAGGCUGGAGAAGAACCACCAUGAUCUCUGGCCCUGGAGACAGCGGAAAUGUCUCAGGAAUCGGGAGUAUGAGCUAUGCUAUGGAGUGUUCCCACAAUUCUGCAUAGACAUAACCAUCAACAAUGCAGCCUAAUAGUAAUGGUAAUGAAUAUAGCACAGCCAACAGAAUAGCAGAUGUAUCUCCUUGAUCAAGGAGUGGGAGAAAACAAUGCAGAGGUAAUGCAAAGUAUUCACAUAUUAGUGUCAGAGUUAUAUAUAUAUCUGUGUUUCUGGAGCAGCCAGCACUGACCUGCUGGGAAUUUCAAGAUUGGUUUUGUAUAUUUUUUAUUAUUUUCUCUAUUUUAUUAGUAGCAUUAGUAAAAAGAAAAUAUCUUUUUACAACUUGCAAGUCCUCUCUCUCUUUGUCUCUCUAUGUGUUAAUGUAUUUAGCCUCAAAAUACCCUUGGGAAGUGGAUAAUUAUUAUAUAUAUAUAUAUGUAUAUAUUUUUUUUUUUAAAGAGAGCUGGAAAAAAAAUUGCUACCAGAAAAAAACCCCAACAAAGCAAAACAAAACAAAACAAAAACCAAAACAAAACAAACAGUAGGGGUAAACCAAAAGGAAGAUAUUGCAGAGAAGUUAAGACUAAAACCAGAAAUGUUUAAAGUGCAGUAAUUGAGCAUUAUAAAACAAUAGCCUUCGGAAGAAAAUAGGAAGGACAAUUUUUUACAAUGCAGGGAGUCAUUAGAAUGUUUCAAGAUUCUGUGCAUAGCUAUUUGUAUCUCAGGAUUGUCCAGUGUAUAUAGCUCUCAGUAUAUUUUCUUGAAAUCACAUAAUAAGUUUUAAGUGGUAGUAGGAAAGAAUAACAAAUCUUUUUAAUAAUAUCAAGCAUAUAUAUUGAUUCUUUCACAGCACAAAGAUUCUGUAAAUCUGGCAAGUGGGAGUCUCCUGCCUAGAUAUUUUCAUCUAUUUUCAAUACUCCAGACACUUCUACACCCUUCCAAAACCUGGCUUUGAAACUUAGGUUAGUUUAAGAAACAUAUAAAAAUCCCUGAAGAAUACUUAAGAUCUUGAGAGAUUUUAGAGAUAUCUCAAAACACAUGAAAAGUUUCACAAGUUUUUCUUGGUGUGGCCAUUUCUUUGAUCAUUUAAUAUACACAUUUAUGUUGAAUUUAUCUCUCGUGUGGGCCAUUCCUAGUCUCUGAAGUUCUUUAAUAAGAUUCAAGAUACUUCCCAUUAUACACUCAACAGCCCAGUUGUCUGCCUACAAGAACUUCUAAAAAAAACCAAAACUUUUCCAUGCUUUUUGCAUGUUAAUUCUUCGAUUUUCAGUUGCCAUCUAGGUCAUCUAGGGUGCUAUGUAAACAUAUAGAUUUAAAACUAUAUCCAUACACCUUAAGAGUUUAUGGAGAUAUACUUGCAGAGGUACACCUUUCAUAUUAUUUAGCACAUGUAUUCUUAAAAAAAGCCAGUAACUCCACAGAGGAUUUUUUUUUUGCUGUUGACAUUCGAGUUGUUUUACUUCUGUUUCCUCCCCAGGGAAGAAAGUGAAUUUUCAGCUUUCUCAUUGUGACAUUGUCAAAAUCAACAGUAAAGCAGCUCUAAAACUAUUUUCAUAGAAGUUAGCAACUUAAACAUGAAGUUGAUUCAGGUCAAACCUCUUAGAUGCUGUGCCUUUUUCUACUGACUUGUUUUUAGUUUCAUGAAGCUUCACUGUGCCAUAGUUUUUUUUUUUUUUAAACAUCCUGUGAAAUUGCAUACUUAAAAAAUGCCAAAUAAAAUUCCUUUUAGUGUCUGUGUUAUCCAGAGCAGUGGAUAUACUCCAAUUAACUUACUCUUCUGCAGAAGUUUUCUCACGUGAUCAGGGGGACAUCCAGAUCCCACCAUGAAAUUUGGAGAGGCUAACGUGUGCAUCUACAGUUGUGAAGUGCCUCAGUGUUCCAAGUUUAGCCACACUGAGGCCAAGUAAUGGACUGACACAACCUUAGGUGUGGACAAAAGUGACAGAAUCAAUAAAUGAAAGAAGCUGCAACAUUUAGACAUUUUGGGAAACAAUGCUUUCAAAUAUUUACCAACAAAAAAAACCACACAUCCACAUAGUCAUUUGUAGAAUCAUAGUAAUAGAAUGCCCUGAGUUGGAAAGCACCCACAGGAACCAUUGAGUCCCACUCCUGUCCCUGAACUUGACAACCCCACAGUUCACAUCGUGUGUCUGAGGAUGUUGUCCCAUCUCUUCUUGAACACUGUCAGGCUUGGGCUGUGACACCUUCCUGGGGAGCCUGUUCCAGUAUCCAGCACCCUCUGGGUGAAGAACCUUUUCUGAAUGUCCAACCUAAACUCCCCUUGGCACAUUUUCCUGCCAUUCCCUCAGAUUCUGUCACUGGUCACUAAAGAGAAGAGUUCGGCACCUGCCCUUCCUGCUCCCCUUGUGAGGAAGCUGUAUCCACUAUGAGGUCUGCCCACAGUCUCCUCUUCUUCAGGCUGAACAAACCCUAUGACUUGAGCUGCUCGUCAUACAGCUGCUUCUUCAAACCCUUCACCAACUUUGUAGCCCUUGUAGUAUGCUUCCUGAAAGAUAAUAAUUGUAAUUUCUAACUGUAUAACUUAAAAAUACACCUAUAUGUGUAUUUCCUGUGUCAUUUUAGAUUUAGCUGUAUAUUAAAUUGUAAUACACCUUACAUUGUGUUACUCAACUUUAAAUCAGUCAGAUAUUGUCAGUUAUCUAGAAAAACCCUCUGUGGACUCAAUUUCUGGUAGACUGGAAUUCACCUUGACACUUGCCAUAUACUAAAAGAAAUAGAAUGAAAACUUAUUUACAGGUAUGCUGAUCAGCAAUUUAAUUUAUUUCCACUGAAUUUCUAAUUUUAUAACAGUGAAAUAUGAUCUACUGAAUCUAGUUCUAGUAGUUUGGGGAAAGAAAAAAAAAUCCAGCAAAGAAGGCAGCAAGGGAAAUUAAACUGUCUGUAUAAAUUAAAUUAAUGGUAUUUAUAUUUGUCUACAAAAACAUUAGUGAAAACUGAAAAUACUGUGAUAGUAUUUUCCUGAUGUUUGAAAAGGCAUGCAUCUAAUUUUUAUCAGAAAUAAUCGCUGUAGCAUAACUCUAAGCCCUGUCGCACCAUAGCUACUACUACUAGUCCAUAAAUCAGUUAGUUUAAAAGUAGCUGAGACAGUGCUAUACUACUGUGCAGUCAGAGCCAUAUUUUAAGUUCUCUUGUGUAUCAAGUUCUUUGAACUUACAUUUGAAGACUAUUUCUGUAGUAGGAAGGGUUUUUUUUAAAGAACUAACUUGUUCAUGGGACAAAGACAGGCAUGCAGGGUUUUCCAGUCCUUGGAUCCUGGUUUGAGGUAAGGAAGUGAUGACCAACACCUGGCAGAACCACCUCAUCCUGGGAAAUGAAUUUUAUAUCUCUAUAUAAAGAAGUAGAUAGCUAGAUACCUAGUCAGACAGAUAGACAGAUAGAUAAAUGUCAGGAAAGCUACUAAAUCCAAGACUGUUAAUUAAGAAAGUAAAGUCACCACUCAGAGGAAAAAUACUCCUCAUUUUUUCUCAUCCAACAAAAUUGUAUAUAACCAAAAAACUACUUGCUGCAAUGCUGACUUUGUCCUCCUUCACCAAGCAGCUUACUGCCACUACUUUUUGACAUCUUGCAGUUUCGUCUUAGUCAUAUUUGGUAAAUCUGCUGGUUUUUCAUCAUAUAUUUUCACAAUGGUCUAGGAAAAAUCUCCACAUCUGUCAGAAUACUUAAUUGCCCUACUCUCCAUAUUUAUGCCAGCAGAGAGAAAUUUGUAAGCCAGCUCUUAAAUGAUUUUUACUCUGUUUGGUAAAAAGAGCUGUGAUCUAUUUAACCAUGCCUUCAUUUACAGAAAUGGUAGGGUAGAAUUGCUUAGGCAAUCUGGGUAUUAUUUUGAAAAGACACUUUAUUGUGUGAAAUUUGCUUAGUUACCCUUCACAAAAUUCUCUCUGGAAAGUGCCUAUAUCUGAGAAAAUGAAAAAUUAAGCCAUAAUUCUAGCCCUUAGGACUGAGCUGUAAAAAUGACAACAGAAGGUCAUUAUUUAUGGAAUAUAUCCACAGAAAUCUGAGCCCUUUAUACCCGUUUAGAAGCUAAACAUGAACUGGCUCAAGUUUUUUCAAAUAAAUUGUAUUUCAUUUUAAAGAUAAUACAUUUUUACUAGUCCAGUCUAUGGGAACUGAGCAAUUACGUGUUUGAAAACAUCCAUAGGAAAAUCAAGGUUCCUGAACUGUGGGAAACUACUCCAAGGUACAAAUUUUAUGUGUUUCAUGUUUAACAGCAUUUUAAGACACAUUUUAUAUAUAUAUAUAUAUAUAUAUAUAUAUGAAUGUGGAAAUAAAUUCUUUUUCUUAAUUUGCUCAAAUAAGUUGUUUUUCUUAAGAUGAAACCUAAGACAUCUGAUGAAAAGAUAGAGUUGUGUUUUUAAAAAAAUUCUAGAAUACUGUCCUUAUCUCACUAAGAUGUCUAGAGACUCACGCAGAUGUUCAAGUGGUAAUUUUGAAAGAUCUUAUCUAGAAUUCCAGGAAGAAUAUAUCGCUCAUUUUAUAUCACUUAAAGAAAAGAGGAGAAGAAGACAGCAAACCAGUUCUUAACAGUGGUGAAUAUUUACAAGAAAUACAACUUAAACUUUGUUUGUUUCAGGAAGCUUCUCUGGUUUUGCAUUUCAUUUUAUAGCCAGACAUAUUUAUAAAUAUACACAUACAAAUACUUAGCCAUCUAUAAAUAUAUAUAUGUGUGUGAAAACACUUCUUUUUAUUACAAUUCUUUGUCUCUGCAAAACUAAUAUAGAUCCAGUUGGUUAGUAUAUAGUGUUAGAUGAAAAAUAUUGAUGGUUGGAGACAUAUUCGAGGAUUAACAGGUCUGGAAUGCUAUUUUCUAAAUUCUUCCAUUGAUGAAGUACUUAAUUUUCAAUAAUAAUUUUAUUAGCUUAUUAAUAUUUAUGCUAAAAUUGUUUCUUAGUCAAUGUUUCUCAGAUAGAGAACUUUAACAAAUUCAUGGAUAUUUAGAGCUUGUGCAUAUAAGCAUGUGUUUUUGCUGCUCAUUGUGAGAUGUUUAUGAAAAACAAAAAGGAAAAUACUAGUUUUUUCUUAUUCUGGGGAACUUAUUCUGCAUGAUUACGCACUUCUGUGCUUUAUAACCAGCCAGUCAGACCUAAGCCACAAGAAGCAACAUUCUAGCUUGUGUUUUAGCUAAGGAAGAGAGGUCAAAAGAGGCAUACAAGUAGGAAUUACAACUUCUUUCUUUAUGUUACAUUAUAUUAUAUACCUGAGUAUCAGUAUUAGCAUCCUUUAUAUCAUAUUUUCUCAAAACAUGUUCUUAUGCAAACCCUUUUCAAAUCCCCUAUAAGAAUAUUUAACUUUAUGAUGGCUUCUGUGUCUUGAUGAUCCUGAAUCAGCGCGGUAGUUUCCUUGCUUAGGUGAAGCAGAGAGUUUGCUGUCUCUAACCUCUCCUUACUGAUUAUUUGAAACAGCUCCAUUCACUUGAAUUCUGAACUACAGCAUGAAUUGUGCAUAGAUAACUUCAAUUAAGCUGCUGAACCACAUGAUUUGUAUAGGUAGUGAAUAUAUGCUUGAGAAUAAGAAUGUAUGUAAUGUGAAAAUCAGUUUGUGUAAAGGGUUAAGGAAGUAAAAGAUAUACUCAUAAGUUAUAAAUGCAAAUCAUGUUUUUAAAGAGAAAAAUAAAUCUUGCAAUCAAUAGCAGACAUUGUAAUCUCAUUUUGGGAAGUAACAUGAGUUAAGCAUUGUGUUAUUCAAACAUAGAAUGACUGAAAUGAAAUGCAUAUAUCUUUAUUUGCUAAUCAAGUUUCAGAGAUUUCUGUGUAAAGAGAUUUUUUUCCCAACUAUAGUUAAAACCGAACUCAAGGGGAAAAAGAGAAAAAGGAGUAUAAUAGACUCAGAAGAAACAAAGAUUCAUUAUUUAGACUAUAGGAUAUGUAUAUCUUGUGUUUCUGAACUGAAAAUCUAAAAAAGCCCAAAAUGCAUGGAGUACUUGAAAUUUUGAUAUGUAUAUAGUUUUCAUGUCACAUCAUUAACAGAGA